ACAUCUAGCAAUCAGGUUACACAAGUUUUCCGAUUUCUCAUUUCAUAUUUGAAGGAAUCAGAGAAAUAAUCGUGCAAAAAAGAAACAAGUUUAACAGCCUGUUUUAACUCUUUGGAAGAGCUAGGCAUGAGCAGAUAAUGACCGGUAAGACCUGUUCUUCGUAUUUGUGCCCACUAUCCAGUAUCCACUGCUAGUAAAAUUACCUUUGAGUAGGCGACAAUAGCGGGCACUACUAAUAAACUAAGC
This 246-nucleotide long non-coding RNA is filed under the name Oryza brachyantha (malo sina). Its description in RNAcentral is "long non-coding RNA (OBRA_LNC002315)". The record is from RNAcentral. Lineage: Eukaryota; Viridiplantae; Streptophyta; Magnoliopsida; Poales; Poaceae.